AACGAACGCUGGCGGCAUGCCUAACACAUGCAAGUCGAACGAGACCUUCGGGUCUAGUGGCGCACGGGUGCGUAACGCGUGGGAACCUGCCCUUAGGUUCGGAAUAACUCCCCGAAAGGGGUGCUAAUACCGGAUAAUGUCUUCGGACCAAAGAUUUAUCGCCUUUGGAUGGGCCCGCGUUGGAUUAGCUAGUUGGUAGGGUAAAAGCCUACCAAGGCGACGAUCCAUAGCUGGUCUGAGAGGAUGAUCAGCCACACUGGGACUGAGACACGGCCCAGACUCCUACGGGAGGCAGCAGUGGGGAAUAUUGGACAAUGGGCGAAAGCCUGAUCCAGCAAUGCCGCGUGAGUGAUGAAGGCCUUAGGGUUGAAAAGCUCUUUUAGCCGGGAUGAUAAUGACAGUACCGGGAGAAUAAGCUCCGGCUAACUCCGUG
RNAcentral lists this ribosomal RNA (433 nucleotides) under uncultured bacterium. RNAcentral describes it as "partial 16S ribosomal RNA". It matches the Rfam family "Bacterial small subunit ribosomal RNA", at positions 29 to 507 of the family's 1533-position model. The record is from RNAcentral.